ACAAAACAUAUUAUUCAAAUUAUGAUCAUAAACAAAGUUAUUUAUACAAUAUAAACAAUAACAAUACUUUAUACAACAUUCCAAGUAGUAAUACUGAUAAAAAAAAUAAAUAUGUGUGUACAUCAAAGAGAUAUACAACAUAAACUUUGUAAUACUAGUUGCCAUAAUUCCUGUACAAACACAUAUACUGAAAAAAAAAACGAGCCACAUAUUCUUACCACUCCGAUCACAAUCACCAAUAACACUGUCAAUGGUACUGCAAACAAAACUAAGACACUUAUACGGGACCAACAAAAUAACGAUAUUAUUAAUAUUUUUAAAAAACAAAAUAAUAAUUAUAAAAACAAAACAUCAACAAAUGUUUUUUUAUAAAACUAUUAACACAAAUGUUAAUGAUAGCGUUUUAAUGUAUAUUGCAAAACAAAAAAUGAAAGAAAAAAUGAAUAAUACUCCUUAUACUGGAAUUGGAACUGCAGCUAUAGCUGGAGCUGGAGCUAUAACUCAAACUGCAGUUGGAACUGUAACUGGAACUGUAACUGGUAAUUAUAACAAUUCCAUUAAUAUUAAUAACAUUACAUGUAAUAAAUGUAAUAUAUGCAAUUGUAAUAACAUGAAUUUAAACACAAGCUUUAAACAUUCGAUUUUAUGUAACCCUAUUUUUAAAUACAAACAAAAACCACUCAUAUUUUUAUUUGUUAAUAAUAAUAAAAAUAUUAUGAAUGUUAAAGAAAUAAAUAAAAUUAAAAAAUAUGCACGAGAAUGUAAUGGUUUUAUAAAACUAAAAAAUUUUAACAAAAAUGAUUUGUAUGAAUUUGUCAGCUUAUGUUUUAAUAUACCUAUCGAUCAAAUUAAUAAACAACUAAUUAAUUACCUUGAUCAAACUUGCUUUGGUAUUCCCAAAUUUGUACAAUACACUUUAUUUUAUAUUUUUAAAAAUAAAUAUAUAAAACUUUAUCGAUAUGUUAUAAAAGAGGAAGACUACAAUGGCGAUUACAAUAACACAGUUGAAGGGGUCAACAAGAGAGAGGGAGAAGAAGGAGAAGGAGAAGGAGGAGAGGGCGAAAUAACAACAGAAGAACUAAACGACAUUCAAAAAAAAUAUGCAAAUAAUAACAUAAAAAAUUAUCAUAAAGAUAACGAAAGUGACAACUUAUUGAAUACACCUGUUGUACAAAAUAAUAGUUAU
RNAcentral lists this long non-coding RNA (1186 nucleotides) under Piliocolobus tephrosceles (Ugandan red Colobus). Its description in RNAcentral is "lncRNA (ENSPTEG00000024612.1)". The record is from RNAcentral. Lineage: Eukaryota; Metazoa; Chordata; Mammalia; Primates; Cercopithecidae.